Prunus persica (peach) is the source of this 771-nucleotide long non-coding RNA. RefSeq lists it as uncharacterized. The transcript has 2 exons. Lineage: Eukaryota; Viridiplantae; Streptophyta; Magnoliopsida; Rosales; Rosaceae. The record is from RefSeq and is a predicted model, not a curated record.
CCGAAUCGGAGUUGUAACGAAGGAGUUAUGGUCAAAAGAGUCUCAGUGGCAGAACCGUAAAUAUUUCGAAGUUGAAUUAAUAAAAAGAAAAUCUGUCAGCUCUCCCUCUCUCUCUCUCUCUCUCUCCCUCCCGAUAGUUUCAGAAACCCAUUCGGGCAGCCCCAUUCCAAGCCACCCCCAACGCCUCCUCAAGCCACCCCGACCCUCCGGAACGGACCCAGCAGCACCGGCCAGCUCCCGCCAUCAACCUCAGCCCGUCCGCCGCCCCUGCUGCUGUCUGGAGCCGCUGGAAAACGCAGCAGUUUUGGCCGAUUUUCCAACUUCAGUUUCUCCCUCAUUCGGCCACCAAAUCAGUCGUGUGAGGCAUCAGAGGCCAAACAGAACCACAUGAGGGACCUUCAAGAGGUCCAGCUAGCUCGGACCAGCAGUGAGUGGACCUUUCUUUUUAUUCAUCAUUUUCUGAAUCAGUUUUAUUCAGUGUGAUUUAUUCCUAUGAAUUUAAAGAUUCCUUCUAUACAUUGCUUAGCUGAUUUUGCUAAAGUUAUUUGGACAACAGACUUUGAGAUUUAUGAUUCAGAAAUAUCUAGCUCAGAUUUUAUCAGAAUACAGAGGAUGUCAGAUUUUAUCCAAGACAAUUAUUUUAGACCGCCAUGAAUUAUAGAAAGCAGAGUUUGAGUUUUCUAUCAGAUAAAAAGGGCAGCACAGUUAUAGAUUGAAUAAAGAUUCAGUUAUUCAUCAGAUCUUUCAGAAAUAUUAUGAUAUUUAUAUUUG